AAGAGCUCCGUUUCACAUGUCUCUCACACUUCACAUUAAAAAAAAUUUCAAAAUUUCGAAUUUCGAAUUUCUUGUUCUUCACAAAUCUCUCUCUUUAUAAACGCUGAUGAUGAUGAGAGGAGGAGGAGGAGGAGGAGGAGAAGGUGAAUCGUGGUCUGAGAUGGAGGCGAUGAUAGCUAAGAAGAUGGUUGAGGAGGAGGUUGAAACAGAGAGCAGUGGUUCGUCGGAAGCUGAGACAGAGUCUCCUAGAUCGGUGGGACGUUGGAUCACGGCUAAGGAGAGAGUUGUUCAUAGCCAGGUUUUGAAGAUCAGGGAAGAGGAUCUCUACGUUCUCCUCGAAGACAAAGUGAUGAUGAUCAAUCCAGUGGAGGAUCAUCGACGAUUUAUACGUCCACGUCGUUUUAAUCUGUUACUGAUCACUCGGCAAAACCUGCCUUGUUCGCCUCUUAGCGGUAAAGUGAGAUCUUCCUAGAUCAAAGGCGAUACUCAUCCUCUGCGUUUACUGUUUUACUUUCUCUGUUUCGUUAUGUUUUCUGGAAGAUCCUUUAAGAGAGUGUCUUUUUUUUUUUUUUGUUUCUUUUUAAUCUGGUCAUCAAAUGUCAUGUGUAUAUAAAACCGUGAAUGUAUAUAUGAAUGAGCUCCGAUCCAUGAGACUUUAUGCUCUUAUCACUUUUGUUUUAA
Camelina sativa (false flax) is the source of this 681-nucleotide long non-coding RNA. RefSeq lists it as uncharacterized. The record is from RefSeq and is a predicted model, not a curated record. Lineage: Eukaryota; Viridiplantae; Streptophyta; Magnoliopsida; Brassicales; Brassicaceae.